AACCUGCCUUAUAGUGGGGGAUAGCCUUUCGAAAGGAAGAUUAAUACCGCAUAAGAUUGUAGUAUCGCAUGAUAUAGCAAUUAAAGGAGCAAUUCGCUAUAAGAUGGACCCGCGUCGCAUUAGCUAGUUGGUGAGGUAAUGGCUCACCAAGGCGACGAUGCGUAGCCGACCUGAGAGGGUGAUCGGCCACAUUGGGACUGAGACACGGCCCAGACUCCUAACGGGAGGCAGCAUG
This 235-nucleotide ribosomal RNA is filed under the name uncultured bacterium. Its description in RNAcentral is "partial 16S ribosomal RNA". It matches the Rfam family "Bacterial small subunit ribosomal RNA", at positions 123 to 353 of the family's 1533-position model. The record is from RNAcentral.